AACCCUCUCAUUCUAAUUCUUUAUUUGAUAUAAGGAGUUGGUAUGGAUGUUGAGUGUUGCCGUCAUUGGCUCACUUUAAAUACAUAAGUACUUUUAUCUUGAAAAAUAAAUGGAGAAAUACUUGGUGUAAUAUUUAUGUUUCAUUAAGGAGUGUGGUUUAAUUACUACAGCCAUUUGUUUUGGAUAAAUAGCUUCCUAACCCUAUUAUAUUUAAAC
This 216-nucleotide unclassified non-coding RNA is filed under the name Pucciniastrum areolatum. Its description in RNAcentral is "partial internal transcribed spacer 2". Lineage: Eukaryota; Fungi; Basidiomycota; Pucciniomycetes; Pucciniales; Pucciniastraceae. The record is from RNAcentral.